This is a non-coding RNA of Pelobates cultripes (western spadefoot toad), 230 nucleotides long. Lineage: Eukaryota; Metazoa; Chordata; Amphibia; Anura; Pelobatidae. The record is from the annotation of a GenBank genome assembly.
CCGGUGUCCGCGACUACACUGGCUAGAUGGGUCCGCUGGCUACUAUCGUUAGCAGGCGUUGAACCUCACUUCGGUGCACAUUCGGUCAGAGGGGCGGCAGCCUCCCAAGCCUUAACGGCGGGCGCCUCUCUAAUCGACAUUAUGCGCUGCGCAGACUGGACACGAGAAAGUACUUUCAGGACGUUCUAUUUCCGUCAAACAUCUCAUGCUUCCUUCACACUAAUCAAUUC